CCCUUAGAUGUUCUGGGCUGCACGCGUGCUACACUGAUAUUGCCAAUAUGUCAUUCUUAUCCGAAAUGGAUUGGGUAAUCAAGUAAUGAAAUUUCAUGCUUGGAAUCGGUAAUUGCAAUUUUAUCGUGAACGAGGAAUUCCUAGUAAGCACUAGUCAUCAGCUAAUGUUGAUUAUGUCCCUGCCCUUUGUACACACCGCCCGUCGCUACUACUGAUUGGAUGUUUAAGCGAGGUUCUCGAACUGCUAGCGACUUAGCUUCGGUGAGGUCGCAGUGUGGGAAGUGAACCUAGCUUUGGUGUCUAGAGGAAGUAAAAGUCGUAACA
RNAcentral lists this ribosomal RNA (324 nucleotides) under uncultured eukaryote. RNAcentral's name for it is "partial 18S ribosomal RNA". It matches the Rfam family "Eukaryotic small subunit ribosomal RNA", at positions 1470 to 1796 of the family's 1831-position model. The record is from RNAcentral.